UACGUAGGGUGCGAGCGUUGUCCGGAAUUACUGGGCGUAAAGAGCUCGUAGGUGGUUUGUCGCGUUGUUCGUGAAAACUCGGAGCUCAACUCCGAGCCUGCGUUCGAUACUGGACGGCUAGAGUCUGGUAGGGGGAUCUGGAAUUCCUGGUGUAGCGGUGGAAUGCGCAGAUAUCAGGAGGAACACCGGUGGCGAAGGCGGGAUCCUGGGCCAGUACUGACGCUGAGGAGCGAAAGCGUGGGGAGCAAACAGG
This 253-nucleotide ribosomal RNA is filed under the name uncultured bacterium. RNAcentral describes it as "partial 16S ribosomal RNA". It matches the Rfam family "Bacterial small subunit ribosomal RNA", at positions 524 to 776 of the family's 1533-position model. The record is from RNAcentral.